GACGAACGCUGGCGGCGUGCCUAACACAUGCAAGUCGAGCGAGUGAAUCUCCUUCGGGAGUGAAGCUAGCGGCGGACGGGUGAGUAACACGUGGGCAACCUGCCUCAUAGAGGGGAAUAGCCUUUCGAAAGGAAGAUUAAUACCGCAUAAGAUUGUAGCUUCGCAUGAAGUAGCAAUUAAAGGAGCAAUCCGCUAUGAGAUGGGCCCGCGGCGCAUUAGCUAGUUGGUGAGGUAACGGCUCACCAAGGCGACGAUGCGUAGCCGACCUGAGAGGGUGAUCGGCCACAUUGGGACUGAGACACGGCCCAGACUCCUACGGGAGGCAGCAGUGGGGAAUAUUGCACAAUGGGGGAAACCCUGAUGCAGCAACGCCGCGUGAGUGAUGACGGCCUCGGUCGUAAGCUCUGUCUCAGGAAGAUAAUGACGGUACGUUGAGGAGGAAGCCCCGGCCGUAACUAACGUGCCAGCAGCCGCGGU
RNAcentral lists this ribosomal RNA (477 nucleotides) under uncultured bacterium. Its description in RNAcentral is "bacterial SSU rRNA". It matches the Rfam family "Bacterial small subunit ribosomal RNA", at positions 28 to 521 of the family's 1533-position model. The record is from RNAcentral.